Arachis ipaensis is the source of this 434-nucleotide non-coding RNA. The record is from RefSeq and is a predicted model, not a curated record. Lineage: Eukaryota; Viridiplantae; Streptophyta; Magnoliopsida; Fabales; Fabaceae.
UUUGUGAUGUGAAAUUAUGCAGAUUGAAUGUGCUAUUGCUAUAAAACUUUUGUCCAAACAGUCCAACGAAUGCAGUUCUGAUAUUGCAAAGAAACUUGUAUAUUGCCUUGCAUUGCUUCCGAAAUCAAAAGAAGAUGAAGAAAGCUGGUCUGUGAUGCUGCAGAAGCUCUUGGUUUUGACAAUAGAUAAAUUAAAUUUUUCCUUUCAAGAGAAGAGAGUCAAUUGGGGAUUAGGGUUUUUAACUUUAAUUUGGGGACCAAAUUGAGUCAAAACAGUUUAUGUCGCCACGUCAGCUAGCCGUUGUGCUGACAGCGUGUCACCAACGAGUCCAAGUCAGCUUUUCAGUUGCGCCAGCUGGACGAAAUUGGCCGAAAGGAUGAGUCUGAGUCCCGGAGUGCAACUUUAGGGAUGAAUAUGAAUAAUUUUUAACUUCA